AUUUAAAUAAUUUAAUUUAAAAUAUUGAUUUGUGGAAUCAAAUAUAUGAAUAAAGUUUCAUUUUAAAUU
Molecule: transfer RNA, 69 nt
Filed under: Sphingomorpha chlorea
Lineage: Eukaryota; Metazoa; Arthropoda; Insecta; Lepidoptera; Erebidae
Description: tRNA-His
Source: RNAcentral